GUCUGUUCUGCCCAUUGAGAAAGAUUCUUAAAAGGCCGCGGUAUUCUAACUGUGCAAAGGUAGCAUAAUCAGUAGCUUCUUAAUUGGAGGCUCGUAUGAAUGAUUAGAUAAGAAUUAAACUGUCUUUCCUUAAUUAACUUGAAUUUUAUUUUUAAGUGAAAAAGCUUAAAUGCGUCAGAGGGACGAUAAGACCCUAUAAAUCUUUAUGUAGGUGAUUUUUGUGUAGUAAUAUAUUAAUUUUGUUGGUUUAUUAGCAAGAAGAAAUUCAUUGUGCUGGGGCGGUAGAAAUAUAAUAAAACUGUUUGUAUGAGGAUACAAAUAUAUUUGUUAAGUUGGAGAUCUUAGUUAUAGAUUUAAAGAACAAGUUACUUUAGGGAUAACAGCAUAAUUUCUUUUGAGAGUUCAAAUCGAAAGAGAAGUUUGUGACCUCGAUGUUGAAUUAAAAGUUCCU
Molecule: ribosomal RNA, 451 nt
Filed under: Allopetrolisthes punctatus
Lineage: Eukaryota; Metazoa; Arthropoda; Malacostraca; Decapoda; Porcellanidae
Description: partial 16S large subunit ribosomal RNA
Rfam family: Bacterial large subunit ribosomal RNA
Source: RNAcentral